RNAcentral lists this non-coding RNA (24 nucleotides) under Arabidopsis thaliana (thale cress). Lineage: Eukaryota; Viridiplantae; Streptophyta; Magnoliopsida; Brassicales; Brassicaceae. The record is from RNAcentral.
CAGAAGCUGCACGACUCGUAUAGA